AAUAACAAUUAAUAUAAAGGAUGUGUUGGCAAAAUAGUCACUUUUUAAACUUAAUUAGGAAAGUAGUCACUUUACUAUUCAUAAUUUGCAAAAUAGUUACUUUUCACUGUUUGAUUCGUACACUUGGAUUAUACAUCACUUUUAGUGUACAAAUGUAAAGUGUACGCUGUGUAUUUUUAUAUAUAUUUGUACACUAAAAGUGGUGUACAAUCUAAGUGUACGAAUCAAACAGUGAAAAGUGACUAUUUUGCAAAUUAUGAAUAGUAAAGUGACUAAUUUUCCAAUUAAGUUUAAAAAAGUGACUACUUUGCAAAUUAACCCUAAU
This 325-nucleotide small RNA is filed under the name Arabidopsis thaliana (thale cress). RNAcentral's name for it is "ATSL049080". The stretch from base 110 to 229 matches the Rfam family "mir-5014 microRNA precursor family". The record is from RNAcentral. Lineage: Eukaryota; Viridiplantae; Streptophyta; Magnoliopsida; Brassicales; Brassicaceae.